GGGCUUGUGGCGCAAUGGUAGCGCGUCCGACUCCAGAUCGGAAGGUUGGGGGUUCAAGUCCCUUCGGGCUCA
Molecule: transfer RNA, 72 nt
Rfam family: tRNA
About the family: Transfer RNA (tRNA) molecules are approximately 80 nucleotides in length. Their secondary structure includes four short double-helical elements and three loops (D, anti-codon, and T loops).
Source: Rfam